AGAUGUGAAGGUGAUCUAGCUGCAACAUGUCACCCCGUUGAUCGCCAGGGUUGAUUUGGCUGAUAUGGCUGGCUAGGCGGGUGUCCCCUCCCUCCCUUAUUGAUCUAUGUGCAUCCCUCCCAAAGCUGUGAGCUUGAUCAAAGGGGACAACCUUCCAAAUAGAGGCAUUAUCAUUCUUCCAUCAAGGGUAUAUGGGUUGCUGUGCUCCCCUGCUAGAACAAGCUCCCAAGGUCCAUUUCUUUCUCAGGCCAUCACAUCCAUACUGGUUAAAUUCUUUUCCUUCUACAUAU
This 290-nucleotide small nuclear RNA is filed under the name Sarcophilus harrisii (Tasmanian devil). Its description in RNAcentral is "7SK RNA". It matches the Rfam family "7SK RNA". Rfam says of the family: 7SK was discovered as an abundant small nuclear RNA in the mid-70s but a possible function has only recently been suggested. Two independent studies have found that 7SK RNA binds the CDK9/cyclin T complex (known as elongation factor P-TEFb). Lineage: Eukaryota; Metazoa; Chordata; Mammalia; Dasyuromorphia; Dasyuridae. The record is from Rfam by way of RNAcentral.